UUGCUUUAUGCAAAUGAUGCUGUCACGCUAGCUAUUCAGUCAUGUCAUGAUGGCCUUAUACUAAGUAAUUUCUGUAUGUAUGUGUAUGUGUAUGUGAAUGCUUUGUAAGAGCAUUUCAUGUUGUGUUUCCACAGAUUUACAAAUUUAAGAAUCCACUAGUCCCUAAAAUCCAUGUCGGAUUGCUGAGUCUUUAUUCCAUGGGUCUGCUGUUAGCUAUCUGCUAAGCUAACUUCCCAAAGCAAGAGCAGAAAAGUAACUUAGGUUACCAAUAAAAAGAAUAUAGUGCCUGGUGUAAAAUGUUGGCGGCGUUCCCCUUUAAGGAAUAGGACGCUGAAGACAGCCCUGCAAACGCUCUGUUAGCGACGGCUAACGUGGGGUCCUCACAGCUUGGAUUCAGGCUUCAGCUCUUUGCCCUCUGGCUAAAUCUCAAUCCACCAGCCUGCAAAUAAUGACAACAGCUGUCCUUGGGGCAUCCGUCCAAACACCCCCCUUCCUCUCGCGCCGCCAGACGGUCAGCCGGUCGGCGGGCACGUUGCGGCUGGGCAGGCGUCCAUGUGAUCCACUACGACUUGGGAAAACCCACAGCGGUGGAUUUACUGAGGAGGGUAAGACGCAACUCUGCUGAUUGGAAAUAUUUGGUAAGACAGUUCAGCUUCUCACUUUACUUGGUGAACUGGUUUUUAACUUUCAAAAUAAAUACAGAACUUGUGUAUUUCAGUAAGGUUUUAAUUGUUACGUCUGUGCUCUUUUUACUAGGCUGCUCGCUUUAAGCAGGAAAAGAAGGGAGAAAAAGUGUGUGCAUCUUUCACUUGCCAGUAAAGCAAUGAAGGGAUGAAGAUGUCAGGUGUUUGCCGCAUGGAUACCUUCUCUCGGUACAUGCCGAAAGGUUCCCUGGACACGCUACACACACACACACACACAUACACACACGCACACAUAUAAGAGAUCAAUC
Long non-coding RNA from Pungitius pungitius (ninespine stickleback), 952 nucleotides. RefSeq lists it as uncharacterized. Lineage: Eukaryota; Metazoa; Chordata; Actinopteri; Perciformes; Gasterosteidae. The transcript has 3 exons. The record is from RefSeq and is a predicted model, not a curated record.